UGGGGAAUAUUGCACAAUGGGCGCAAGCCUGAUGCAGCCAUGCCGCGUGUAUGAAGAAGGCCUUCGGGUUGUAAAGUACUUUCAGUCGGGAGGAAGGUGGCAAGGUUAAUAACCUUAUCAAUUGACGUUACCGACAGAAGAAGCACCGGCUAACUCCGUGCCAGCAGCCGCGGUAAUACGGAGGGUGCAAGCGUUAAUCGGAAUUACUGGGCGUAAAGCGCACGCAGGCGGUUGAUUGAGUCAGAUGUGAAAUCCCCGGGCUUAACCCGGGAAUUGCAUCUGAUACUGGUCAGCUAGAGUCUUGUAGAGGGGGGUAGAAUUCCAUGUGUAGCGGUGAAAUGCGUAGAGAUGUGGAGGAAUACCGGUGGCGAAGGCGGCCCCCUGGACAAAGACUGACGCUCAGGUGCGAAAGCGUGGGGAGCAAACAGG
Molecule: ribosomal RNA, 429 nt
Filed under: Chloroflexota bacterium
Lineage: Bacteria; Bacillati; Chloroflexota
Description: Chloroflexi bacterium partial 16S ribosomal RNA
Rfam family: Bacterial small subunit ribosomal RNA
Source: RNAcentral